AGGGCUGUCCUUCGUCCUUCGUGGGGCGCCCUCUCUAUGAGCAAGCAAAGCAGAAUUGCACUAGCUCAAAAGAAACGGGAGAUGCGCAAAUUCAGAGACAUCUCCAUCUCACUCUCUGUGCCCCAGCUGUGGUGGAGCCUUCCAAGCUCCCGAGUCAGGAUGCUCGGGACACCGACCCUGCCUAGUGCCGUCCUCUUGGUCUUCUCUGAGUACCAAGGACAACAGCCAACCAAGCAGAAGUAAAGACAGGGGAGAAAGGAACCAAAGGCCCAAAGGCAGCAAGAGAGAGAGAGAAAGCCCUCUUGGUGCACCAUAUGCUGCUCUGCUAGAGAAUCCAUAAAGAAAUGGGAAGAGGAGCCCUAGCAAAAGCACAGGAAACAACCGGGAGAGCAGCAGCAUCUCAAGAUCCUAACAAAAUCCGAGAGACAAUACGAGAGGCUGUUAAGGGAACCACCAAACGCUGCCAUCUUAUUUGGGAAGCACUCUAGCCAGGUCUGCCCGGUGCUUUAAGGACAUUGAAAUAGUGCCCUUGCCUUGGCCGUGGCACUGUAACAAAAAUGCCACAAAAAAUAGCCUUCACGUCGCAAGGCUAUGCCCAAACUCCCAAGGGCACCGUCUUGGCAAACGUGAUAAAACCAUAACCCAGUUCAUUUCAGAGGAACAAAACAACUGGAAUGUCAAGGGAACUAAAGAGAAAGGGCAGAAAUGGAGGACUAGCUCUUCUAAAGCAACGAUCGUCAAACCCACUUGAUGAUGGUUUCAAACAAAAGGAGACAAAUAGAUCAAUGGAAUGGACUAGACCAGGGAGACUAUAAAAUAAUAGAACCUAGGAACACAGUGUUCAACAAGACAGAACUCUCUGGUCACCUUUCGUCCCCAGAUGCAAUCUAGGCAAAUAAUGGUAUGAAUCUGUAUUUUAUCCAGACAAAAUGAAGAAUGCCAUACAGUCGUUGACACACACACAAAUCUCUGAGAAGAAUGGAAAGUAAUCUGCCAGGAAUUGUACAGAGACUAGCAUUUUAUAUCAUAUUCUGCAAAAAACUCAGAAUAGGUGAUCUGAAAACGAAAGAUUAUACUAUUAGAGAAAAAAAAAAAAAAAAAACAAAAAAAAAACCCAACCCAAACCCACUCCAUUUAAAGAUUAGACAUUUUCACUGGCCUCCCACAUUCCUUCACUUCUUUCAAAUCCCAGAUAAAAUCCUACUUUCUGCAGGAACCCCUUUCAAUUCUAAUGCUAGUGCCUUACCUCUCUCUGUUGGCCAACUCCAGUUUAUACUGUCUAUAGCUUGUUUAUACAUAGACAUCAUUGUGUUAUCACCCCUCCACUAGAUUUUAAGUAGGAACUGUCUUUUCUCUUUCUUUGUACCCUUUGCACCUAGAAUGUUGCCUGGCAAAUAGUAGGCACUUAGUAAAUGUUUUCUGAUUGACUAGGAGUUCAAAAAUCUGGUAGACCACAAUUUUUGUUAACCAAGAGAAACAUGGAUAUCAUAAUUGUGAAUUUGGGAAGGGGAGACUUUUGGGCAGGAGGCUUGAAAUGUUACGAAUAAAAUGAUCCUGAGAGACCA
Molecule: long non-coding RNA, 1565 nt
Organism: Monodelphis domestica (gray short-tailed opossum)
Lineage: Eukaryota; Metazoa; Chordata; Mammalia; Didelphimorphia; Didelphidae
Source: Ensembl